GACGAACGCUGGCGGCGCGCCUAACACAUGCAAGUCGAACGAGAGAGGAAGAGCUUGCUUUUCCGAUCGAGUGGCGAACGGGUGAGUAACGCGUGAGGAACCUGCCCCAAAGAGGGGGACAACAGAUGGAAACGACUGCUAAUACCGCAUAAGCCCACGGCUCGGCAUCGAGCAGAGGGAAAAGGAGCAAUCCGCUUUGAGAUGGCCUCGCGUCCGAUUAGCUAGUUGGGGAGGUAACGGCCCACCAAGGCGACGAUCGGUAGCCGGACCGAGAGGUGGAGCGGCCACAUUGGGACUGAGACACGGCCCAGACUCCUACGGGAGGCAGCAGUGGGGAAUAUUGCACAAUGGGGGAAACCCUGAUGCAGCGACGCCGCGUGGAGGAAGAAGGCCUUCGGAUUGUAAACUCCUGUUGUUGAGGAAGAUAAUGACGGUACUCAACAAGGAAGUGACGGCUAACUACGUGCCAGCAGCCGCCGUAA
Molecule: ribosomal RNA, 482 nt
Filed under: uncultured bacterium
Lineage: Bacteria
Description: partial 16S ribosomal RNA
Rfam family: Bacterial small subunit ribosomal RNA
Source: RNAcentral